CAGUCGCCGCGGUAAAACGUAGGGUGCAAGCGUUAAUCGGAAUUACUGGGCGUAAAGCGUGCGCAGGCGGUUUUGUAAGUCUGUCGUGAAAUCCCCGGGCUCAACCUGGGAAUGGCGAUGGAGACUGCAAGGCUAGAAUCUGGCAGAGGGGGGUAGAAUUCCACGUGUAGCAGUGAAAUGCGUAGAUAUGUGGAGGAACACCGAUGGCGAAGGCAGCCCCCUGGGCUAAGAUUGACGCUCAUGCACGAAAGCGUGGGGAGCAAACAGGAUUAGAUACCCCCGUAGUCCCUGUCUCUUAUAC
RNAcentral lists this ribosomal RNA (301 nucleotides) under uncultured bacterium. RNAcentral's name for it is "partial 16S ribosomal RNA". It matches the Rfam family "Bacterial small subunit ribosomal RNA", at positions 509 to 807 of the family's 1533-position model. The record is from RNAcentral.